RNAcentral lists this non-coding RNA (29 nucleotides) under Rattus norvegicus (Norway rat). Lineage: Eukaryota; Metazoa; Chordata; Mammalia; Rodentia; Muridae. The record is from RNAcentral.
UGUGUGCAACACAGCCUUUCUGGAAUACA